Molecule: non-coding RNA, 73 nt
Organism: Perkinsus marinus ATCC 50983
Lineage: Eukaryota; Perkinsozoa; Perkinsida; Perkinsidae
Source: Rfam
AGCAGCUUGGCGCGGUGGAUAGCGUGUUAGGCUCAUAACCCAAAGGUUUCUUGAUCGAAACAAAGAACUGCUA